UGCAUUCAAGAAACUACCGUGUCACUGAUCGGUGCUUUGAUCUCCGGCUAGCCCAUUAACCAUUCUGAACCUCAGAUUCCUCUUCUGUUGUGUGGGAAUGGUGAAUGAUUUGGGGAAGGUUAAAUAAAAUAGUCCAUGCUAUUAUGCUCUAUAUAUGUUGACUGACCCUAAGGCAGUCUUGAAAACCUUCUUUAAAGAAAUUCUGCUUCCCCCUACCACUCCACAGAGGAUGCUAUAACAGACAAUGUAGCCACAACCUCUCAUACCCAUCUUCACAGCUUAGCCACCUAUACCCUUUUCUAGACCAUUUCCCCCUCCCUUUCAUGCUUUCUUUAGCCAAGCGACUUUUGAUUGUGCUUCAGACCAUUUCCAACACUAUUAUAAUUACAUAGCAACGUCUUUUCAUAAUGUGAAGAGGAACAAUUGAGCAAAAUUUGCAAGGGCUCCUGUCCUCCACCCCCAACACUCCUUCACGCAGCUGCUGUUGGCACCUUUCUUUCCCUACUGAGAAGUGAGGCCCCUGCGCUUUCAGGCAUUUGGCUACUAUUGUGGGUCGUUCCAUUGUCACUCCGGUUUCAAGAGCCUGAAAUAAUAUGGCAUUGCCCAUCAUGUCUGAAUCACUUUUUUCUUGAUUUUAAUCGAGUGUCAGCUAUGGUGGCGGUACAUGCACUUGGAAUGGGGAAUGAGGAGUGGAUCCUGGAGUCCCAAUAGUGGCAAGUAAAUAGUAACCUUUGGGCUUUGAAAACCUUUGGUUUUCAAAGAGUCCCGGGCCUGACUCAGCCUCAAACAAGAGGGAACGCGGUCUGUGGGGGCCUUUACAGAAGUAACCUGCAUUUCGGCAAAAGCAUGAAGUUCAAUCAAAAUUACUCAGAGUGGAGAAUGGCUUUCUCCUUGCAUGAAUGAGAAAGGUGAGACACAACUUUUGUUUUGCCUGCUGAGUUCUCUGCAGGGUUUAUCUGUUUGGACCAAGUGUUGAAGCCUCAUCGCAGGGUUCAGGUUAACCACUGUGUGUCCACCUUGUGGAUGAACAGGACUAGAAAGUGGGUGUUUAGAGCUUGUGCUGGGCAGGUGCUGGGCAAACAGGGAAGGGAGUCUGUAUGGAUUUACAGCCCAACGCUGGUCCUUCCCCAGGUGUCUGUUUGCUUCUGUGCUUGAGUUAGUCAGUGUCCUUUUUGCUCUACUUAUUGGAUUAUAGCUCUGAGCCUUGCUGCAUUUCGUAGCAGGAACAUGAGCUCUUACUGGGGAGGUGGAGAGGAUGUGGCUCACUAGCACUAUCUUGGUGUGUUUCUUUCUCUUGGGGAUUCAUUUCCCAAGUUCAGGAUGUGGCAUAGAGCUUCCCUGGUCUUCUGAAGAGCCAAACUCAAGGCUGCUAGCAGGGCAUUGGCAACAGAGGACCUGCUGCCUUGGGACAGAUACUGCCAGUUAGGAAUAAAUUUCUUUUCUUUUUAAAAAAAAUUUAAUGUUUAUUUAUUUUUGAGAGAGAGACAGAGAGAGAGAAAGAGAGAGAAAACACAAGUAGGGGAAGGGCAGAGAGAGGGAGACAGAAUCCUAAGCAGGCUCCAGGUUCUGAAGUAUCAUUACAGAGCCCGAAGUGGGGCUUGAACCCACAAACCGUGAGAUCGUGACCUGAGCCGAAGUAGGAGGCUCAAUGACUGAGCCACCCAGGUGUCCUGAGGAAUAAAUUUCUAAGUGUUUCAGGGUGCUCAAGCACGGCUGAAUGAAUUCCUUGGCUGGUUUAUUCUUACACUUUGAGAGCAGCUUCCAUAGUGCAGUGAAAACACAGAAUGCAGGAAAAUGCUGUUAAGUUAGGCAUCCUGGGGGCUCUGAGUAGAUGGAUCCGUUUUGGGAGCUUGCUCUGAGAAAUUUGGAAACCAAUCGUUGCAGUGGCCUCCAGACUGGAAUUUAUACCAUCAUCUCUCCUGGGUCUCCAGCAUGCUGACUGUGGAUUUUGAGACUUCUCAACCUCCAUAACCAUGAGACCCUAGGACCUUGACUUCUCAGCGAUGUUCUGUGGAUCACCCAGAUUCCUUGGUGGGUAAGAGGGGACCUAAGUGGAGGUCAUGAGGAGGAGACGAAGAUGGAAGAGGGAAUUGGACUUUAGACUUUAGGAUAUUCAUUCCAUUUUCAACCAGAGAAGUUUUGCUUUUAUUAAUUUCAUUUGAAAAAUAAAGGCUAUAAUUGGUGUGAAGAGCACUAGAUCUAAGGAAUCUCUGGGUAAAACAUUUGCAUAUGUCAAUCAUUUGGACUACUUUCAGUUUUAAUCAACCGGAAAUCCAAUUUUGAUCCUGCACAUGUUUGGAAAAAGUGGCCUGAACAUAGCUGAAAAGAGUUGUCACAAAGCCCAUGAACUCGAUUCUCAGGAGAGGUCUGGAUCUACCUGCAGGUCCUUACUCGAUGGCCAGUGGACUUCAAAUGGCUUUAAAGAUAAGGUUUCUGAUUUAACAAUCCUGGUUACUAGAUUUCAACAGCAUAUAUCAGCAGAGAGCUAUUGGAAGCUGACAUGCUGCAAAGUCAUAGAUGCCACGGCAGAGGAACUGUGUUAAGACUUAGUCACCUGCUGCACUGGAAGGACUAUCUUAUAGUGGGGUGAAAUAUGGAGUCUAGACUCUGACAGGUUUGGGUUCAUGACCGAGUCUGGCCCCUUACUUGCUUUAUGACUUUGAGUCUCAUUGUUAUUGUCUGUAAAAUGGGCAUAGUAGUCAAGCUGUACUUGAAUCUGACAGGACAGCUCUUUCACAGAACUUCUGGACCUUCCCAGAGCUUUCCUGUCAGCCUGCUACAGAAGAAUCCCCUUGGCUGGUGGUUAAACAUAUAGAUCCUUCUACCCCCAGGCUGCCCGAAUCUGAAUCAUCAGGGGAAGGGCCAGUAAUAUGACCAUAUAACCAAAGCCCCAGGGGAUUCUGAGCUGCCCCACUUUAGAGGUAGCUUGAUAAACCCCAAUAAAGGUUCCUGGGGAACUAAAGAAUGGGGAAUUCCCAGCCUAUGGUGACCCUGGCCCCAUGUCCUUUUCUUCCUAAACCUGUGUCCUCUCUAUUGGUAGAGGAGCAUCUUCCUUGGUGCUUUGAAAGUCACAACUCAUUACUGCUUCUUGUCAGGGCCAGAGUGCAACCAGUCAAAACCCUGUGAAGGUGAGUCACAUGGUUUUUUUUUUUUUUUUCUUUCCAUACUUAAGGGAAAGGCUAAAAGAAGCAAUUGAAUGCCAAUUAAUUGACUUUUAUAUCUAAGAGACCAGCAUGGAUGUCCCUUUAAAUAAAUAGUUUUAUUAAAAUGUACACUCAUGUGUAUUUGAAGAUGAGUGAUUGUGUACUUCUUGCACCAGGCUGAAAAGGGGCUACGUUAUCUUAGUGGUCUUGGAGGGCUUCAAAGAAGAAAAGAGCUCUCAUUUUGAUUGCAGUGUCAAAGUGUUAUGGCUGUCAACCCAGUUAUGCCUGAAUAAUUUUAAGAGGCUUCAUUAUAAAUAAAACUGAAUCCUGUUUUCUGUAAUAUUUCUGUUUGCACAAGGCAUGUGGCAUAGAGAAGGCUAUUGUAAACAUUUGUGACCCCAUUUGGCCUGUGUGUUUUUCUGCAUCAGACUGAAAAUCCUGACUGGCAGACAGGGCAGUGUCAUAUUUAACAAACACUUUUGUGAAACCCAUAGAGAGAGGGAGAAAGGAAGCAAGUAGGAGCCAGUCAACUCUGUUUAAUCGUUUCUUUUUGGUUUAACUCAUUUCCAGCCUGAAUUGUGUGUGUAAAUCUUGGGACAUACAUACAUAUAUUUUUAAAGAGGUCUUUAAAAAUAAUGAUACACCAGACUACACCCCAAAACCAGA
This is a long non-coding RNA of Acinonyx jubatus (cheetah), 3809 nucleotides long. RefSeq lists it as uncharacterized. Lineage: Eukaryota; Metazoa; Chordata; Mammalia; Carnivora; Felidae. The transcript has 3 exons. The record is from RefSeq and is a predicted model, not a curated record.